AGCAGUCGCCACGGGAAAACGUAGGGCGCAAGCGUUAUCCGGAAUUAUUGGGCGUAAAGAGCUCGUGGGCGGUUUGUCGCGUCUGCCGUGAAAGUCCGGGGCUCAACCCCGGAUCUGCGGUGGGUACGGGCAGACUAGAGUGAUGUAGGGGAGACUGGAAUUCCUGGUGUAGCGGUGAAAUGCGCAGAUAUCAGGAGGAACACCGAUGGCGAAGGCAGGUCUCUGGGCAUUAACUGACGCUGAGGAGCGAAAGCAUGGGGAGCGAACAGGAUUAGAUACCCGCGUAGUCCCUGUCUCUUAUAC
This 303-nucleotide ribosomal RNA is filed under the name uncultured bacterium. RNAcentral's name for it is "partial 16S ribosomal RNA". It matches the Rfam family "Bacterial small subunit ribosomal RNA", at positions 507 to 807 of the family's 1533-position model. The record is from RNAcentral.